Molecule: transfer RNA, 67 nt
Filed under: Marmota monax (woodchuck)
Lineage: Eukaryota; Metazoa; Chordata; Mammalia; Rodentia; Sciuridae
Description: tRNA.Ala
Source: RNAcentral
GAUUGUUGCUCAGUGGUAGAGUGCUUACCUAGCAUGCAUGAGGCACUGGGUUCAAUCUCCAGCACCA